RNAcentral lists this ribosomal RNA (1326 nucleotides) under marine metagenome. Its description in RNAcentral is "bacterial LSU rRNA". It matches the Rfam family "Bacterial large subunit ribosomal RNA", at positions 1087 to 2486 of the family's 2925-position model. The record is from RNAcentral.
AGACAGUGAGGAUGUUGGCUUAGAAGCAGCCACCAUUUAAAAAGUGCGUAAUAGCUUACUCAUCGAGAGAUUCUGCGCCGAAAAUGAUUGGCGAUAAGCGGUAUACCGAAGCUCUGGGCUUUUGUCCCUGGGGACAGGAGCGGUAGAGGAGCAUUCUUGAUUGCGUCGAAGCGCGAUGGCGACUGACCGUGGAGUAUCAAGAAGAGAGGAUGCAGACAUGAGUAACGAUAAGACGGGUGAAAUCCCCGUCCGCCGUAAACCCAAGGUUUCCCGGGCUACGAUUUUCGUCCCGGGGUUAGUCAGGACCUAAGGCGAGGCCGAUAGGCGUAGCCGAUGGACAGCAGGUUAAUAUUCCUGCACUUCCGACCCUUAACCCGGAUUGACGCAUGGCUGGAGGUAACUAGGUAAUUGAAUUCCGAGGUGCGGCUACGGCCAAUCCGUAUUACCAAAGGCGGUGCCGAGAAAAGAUCCGGUGUAUGCUAAGGAACCUGUACCGUAAACCGACACAGGUGGGUGGGUAGAAUAUACCAAGGCGUAAGAGUGAACCCUGGUUAAGGAACUCGGCAAAUUGGCCCCGUAACUUAGGGAUAAGGGGUGCCUGGACUAGUCCAGGCCGCAGUGAAAUGGCCCAACCGACUGUUUAGCAAAAACACAGCAUUCUGCCAAGCCGUAAGGCCAAGUAUAGGAUGUGACACGUGACCAAUGCGGAAAGAUUAAGGUAAGAUGUUAGCCGCAAGGCGAAGCUUUGAGCCCAAGUCCCCGUGAAUGUCGGCCGUAACUAUAACGGUCCUAAGGUAGCGAAAUUCCUUGUCGGGUAAGUUCCGACCUGCACGAAUCGUGAAACGAGUUGGGCGCUGUCUCAACCAGGUGCUCAGUGAAAUUGUAAUGGCGGUGAAGAUGCCGCCUACCCGCAGAAGGACGGAAAGACCCUAUAGACCUUAACUGUAAGCUGUCAUUGGUUUUUCGAUUUUCAUGCUCAGCAUAAGUGGGAGACUUUGAUGUGGUCCUUUAGGGGGCCGCGGAGUCGCCAGUGAGAUACCACCCUUGGGUGUUGGAAGAUCUAACCUCGACCCGUGAAUCCGGGCGAGAGACAUUGUCAGCCGGUCAGUUUUACUGGGGCGGUAUCCUCCCAAAGAGUAACGGAGGAGCGCGAAGGUGGGCUCAGCACGGUCGGUAACCGUGUGUUGAGUGCAUAGGCAUAAGCCCGCCUAACUGUGAGACCCACAAGUCGAGCAGAUACGAAAGUAGGCCUAAGUGAUCCGGCGGUUGAAUGUGGAAUUGCCGUCGCUCAACGGAUAAAAGGUACCUUAGGGAUAACAGGCUGAU